Molecule: ribosomal RNA, 425 nt
Filed under: uncultured bacterium
Lineage: Bacteria
Description: partial 16S ribosomal RNA
Rfam family: Bacterial small subunit ribosomal RNA
Source: RNAcentral
GUGGGGAAUAUUGGGCAAUGGGCGAAAGCCUGACCCAGCAACGCCGCGUGAAGGAAGAAGGUUUUCGGAUCGUAAACUUCUAUCCUUGGUGAAGAUAAUGACGGUAGCCAAGAAGGAAGCCCCGGCUAACUACGUGCCAGCAGCCGCGGUAAUACGUAGGGGGCAAGCGUUGUCCGGAAUGAUUGGGCGUAAAGGGCGCGUAGGCGGCCCGGUAAGUCUGAAGUGAAAGUCCUGCUUUUAAGGUGGGAAUUGCUUUGGAUACUGUCGGGCUUGAGUACAGGAGAGGUAAGUGGAAUUCCCGGUGUAGUGGUGAAAUGCGUAGAGAUCGGGAGGAACACCAGUGGCGAAGGCGACUUACUGGACUGUAACUGACGCUGAGGCGCGAAAGUGUGGGGAGCAAACAGGAUUAGAUACCCCAGUAGUCC